This 344-nucleotide ribosomal RNA is filed under the name uncultured soil bacterium. RNAcentral's name for it is "bacterial SSU rRNA". It matches the Rfam family "Bacterial small subunit ribosomal RNA", at positions 53 to 398 of the family's 1533-position model. The record is from RNAcentral.
ACAUGCAAGUCGAACGGGCUCCGGGGCAACUCGGAGUCAGUGGCGGACGGGUGCGUAACACGUGAGGAACAUGCCUAUCGGCGGGGGAUAGCCGGUCCAACGACCGGGUAAUACCGCGUACGACCUUUGGGUGGCAUCACCUGGGGGUGAAAGCAGCAAUGCACCGAUAGAGUGCCUCGCGGCCUAUCAGCUAGUUGGUGAGGUAAUGGCUCACCAAGGCGACGACGGGUAGCUGGUCUGAGAGGAUGACCAGCCACAUUGGGACUGAGACACGGCCCAGACUCCUACGGGAGGCAGCAGUGGGGAAUAUUGCGCAAUGGGCGAAAGCCUGACGCAGCGACGCC